UAAGCUCAGGUCUGGGAAGCUACUUCUGUUUUGACUUAUGGGAUAGGUGUAUCUGUGCCCACUUAUGUUUUUUUGCUUGGAACUCUGAUCUAUGUCACAGCUUCAUCUCCAGCUGCAACACCCUCUACUCCUGACUGGACUGCCUAGAUGGACCUGGGAGCUGAUUCAUCACCUUGCCUUACCUCACUGGAUCUCUGUUGCUAUUACUGACCCUGCCCUGCUCACCAUGCAAGGUACUGCAGAAACUGAAUUCUGAUACCAUCCAUGAUAGUAAAAGCUUAUUCUCUUCCUCGGCACACAAUCUGAUACUGACUGCAAUCUUAGAGUGCCUAAGGAAGCAAUCAAAGCACCCUCCAAACAUGCUUAACUCACUGAGUUAAGAAUAUUGGAGCUGACAGAUGAAGUUGGCCAUAAAGGACAUUGCUUGGACUGCAUGGAAGUUGAUGGACAUCUUAACACUGUUUACUUAAUCAUCAGAAGGCUUACUGUUGUUGGUUGUCUGAAGAGGCUAUUUGACUGUGGGAAUUACUCAUUUGUCACAGGUAUUCUCUGAGUUUAUAUAACUGGCAGUUAUUUCUGCCUUCUGGCAGAAACACACUGUCAAUGAUUGAAUGAGCCUUCUCGCUCUUUUAAAGAAGACAGAAUUCUUCAACUACUGUAAGGCCAGUUUUCCUUCUAAUUAGCAUCCUGGCUCUGGGGAGGCCUGCAUUGGUAACGCUUUCAGAAGUUAAUGAAGCUAUUCUGAAAACAAUUCAACCUUCCAUGUAUAAGGCAGGUGCUUUUAAUAGAAACAAAAGGUCUUGUUUUGAUCAGGUAGAGCAUCCUCAUUUUCACCUGAGAAAUGACAGGUGUCCUUAGAAGAAUUAAAAUCUAAAUGUGUAAGGCUCAGAGUGGAAGAGCAAUACACUGUGCUUUUUAAUAUUUCUAGUAAGGAUAGCAGAUACCUAAUUAUACAGGUCUACAACUCA
Molecule: non-coding RNA, 968 nt
Organism: Anas platyrhynchos (mallard)
Lineage: Eukaryota; Metazoa; Chordata; Aves; Anseriformes; Anatidae
Source: RefSeq, a predicted model, not a curated record